This is a long non-coding RNA of Suricata suricatta (meerkat), 668 nucleotides long. RefSeq lists it as uncharacterized. Lineage: Eukaryota; Metazoa; Chordata; Mammalia; Carnivora; Herpestidae. The transcript is spliced from 2 exons. The record is from RefSeq and is a predicted model, not a curated record.
AAGUCUGAGUCACUACAGUCUAUACAGUCCAGAUUUGAAAAAGCCCUAAUCACAUUAAUCAUUUUCUUUCCCUUCCAUAUAAGUCCAGGAUCUGACACCUUGAGUGGACCUCAUGACCCACCUUCCACUCAAGAAGUAAAGCCAGGGCUGAAUUUCCUGCUGCUACAGAUGGCUGAGAAGAGGAAGAAAAUCCCUGAAAACUGCUGGUGGCUGUUUGGUUGGGUACAUGCCUACCUGAGUCUUGAGAAGACAUCUGUUCCUUAGCAAACCUCGUCUGGACAGAGGAAAAAAAAAGGUCUUAAAAACAAAAUUCACAUUUGGAAAAAUAAGGUUAUCCAAAUCUUGUUUUGCCUUUGACUUCAAAGGACUCCUAUAUAGGAUAAACUUUGAGGAAUAUGAAAAGAGAAGGAUUUGGCUCAAAGAACAGAAGGAUCAAAUCAAAGUACAAAGUUGUGAGAAAAGCCUGAAAAACAUUUCAGUGCGGUUGAAGCCAUUGGCCGUGCACUUUGAACAAAACCAAGUUCACUCAGAGAAAUGAACGAAGUAAAGAAGCAGGUGAUGCUAACGAUGGCAUUUUAAUUGUUAUAAUUGAAUAAUAUAACUUACUUAAGCUUGAAGAAUUUUAUCUUUUUAUCCAAAGCCAAAGAAAACUGAUAUAUAUUAUUGAA